AGGUCGGCGGGGGAUGUACGCCGCUCUCACCCCCCUGUGUCUCCACACACACCCUCUCACCCCCCUCCCCUGUGUCUCUACACAUACCCCUCCCUCACCCCUGUGUCCCCUCUCACUCGACCCUUACCUGUGUCCCCCAUACCCACCCCGGCCUUCCUGCCCAGCCAGUGUCUGCAAAGUUACUUAUGACCUACGACCAGAGGGUCAACAUUGGCCUGAACCAGGUCCACUGGCCUUAACCCAGGUCCACUGGCCUUAACCCAGGUCCACUGGCCUUAACCCAGGUCCACUGGCCUUAACCCAGGCCCACUGGCCUUAACCCAGGUCCACUGGCCUCAACUAGGUCCACUGACCUUAACCCAGGUCCACUGGCCUUAACCCAGGUCCACUGGCCUUAACCCAGGCCCACUGGCCUCAACCAGGUCCACUGGCCUCAACUAGGUCCACUGGCCUGAACCCAGGUCCACUGGCCUGAACCCAGGUCCACUGGCCUGAACCAGGUCCACAGGCCUUAACCCAGGUCCACUGGCCUUAACCCAGGUCCACUGGCCUUAACCCAGGUCCACUGGCCUUAACCCAGGUCCACUGGCCUUAACCCAGGUCCACUGGCCUUAACCCAGGUCCACUGGCCUUAACCCAGGUCCACUGGCCUUAACCCAGGUCCACUGGCCCUAACCAGGUCCACUGGCCUCAACCAUGGCAAGCAACGGUACUGUCAACAGUUGUGCGUUGUCAAGUGUCAAGUGCGGCGUGAAGUGCUGGUGAAGUUGUGUAGAAAGUGGUGAUAGAUAUAAUAACACUUGUGCGGGAGGAAGCGGCAAGCAGCGUUCUCAGCCUUAUCUGGAGGCGACACUUUGUCAGCGUCAACACCAUGUCACGAGCUGAUGGGGAACUUGAGGAAGGGCGUAACCCGCUCGGUUACCGCCCUAGAGCCCCGAAAAUCGGCAACCUUCCAAAGUGAGUACCAGACAGUGUGUUAAAUGUUCCGCUUCCUCUGUGUACAUUAUGGCAGCUGCGCGCGCAUUGCCGUAUACACAAUAAUACAUUAUUGGUCUGGGUGAAUGACCUGCAUGCUCUCUGGUCGAAACUGUAAGCUGAAAUGGG
This is a non-coding RNA of Procambarus clarkii (red swamp crayfish), 1104 nucleotides long. Lineage: Eukaryota; Metazoa; Arthropoda; Malacostraca; Decapoda; Cambaridae. The record is from RefSeq and is a predicted model, not a curated record.